CAGUCGCCGCGGUAAUGCGUAGGUGGCAAGCGUUGUCCGGAAUUAUUGGGCGUAAAGCGCGCGCAGGCGGAUCAGUUAGUCUGUCUUAAAAGUUCGGGGCUUAACCCCGUGAGGGGAUGGAAACUGCUGAUCUAGAGUAUCGGAGAGGAAAGUGGAAUUCCUAGUGUAGCGGUGAAAUGCGUAGAUAUUAGGAAGAACACCAGUGGCGAAGGCGACUUUCUGGACGAAAACUGACGCUGAGGCGCGAAAGCCAGGGGAGCGAACGGGAUUAGAUACCCCUGUAGUCCCUGUCUCUUAUACA
RNAcentral lists this ribosomal RNA (301 nucleotides) under uncultured bacterium. Its description in RNAcentral is "partial 16S ribosomal RNA". It matches the Rfam family "Bacterial small subunit ribosomal RNA", at positions 509 to 809 of the family's 1533-position model. The record is from RNAcentral.